RNAcentral lists this unclassified non-coding RNA (263 nucleotides) under uncultured fungus. Its description in RNAcentral is "partial contains small subunit ribosomal RNA, internal transcribed spacer 1, and 5.8S ribosomal RNA". The stretch from base 1 to 73 matches the Rfam family "Eukaryotic small subunit ribosomal RNA", at positions 1759 to 1831 of the family's 1831-position model. Lineage: Eukaryota; Fungi. The record is from RNAcentral.
GCAAACUUGGUCAUUUAGAGGAAGUAAAAGUCGUAACAAGGUUUCCGUAGGUGAACCUGCGGAAGGAUCAUUAACAAAUCCUGGAUUGUUGCAUGGGUGCACGUGUCUCCUUCGAUUCGUGCAUCCUCGACAAUACACACGUUCCAUGUGCAUUCAUUUGUGCAUGCCAACAUUUCUACGAAUCGUCUGAUUGUCACGUUGAUCUAAUUACAAAGACUUUUAACAAUGGAUCUCUAGGCUCUUGCAUCGAUGAAGAACGCAGC